Long non-coding RNA from Eriocheir sinensis (Chinese mitten crab), 1011 nucleotides. RefSeq lists it as uncharacterized. The record is from RefSeq and is a predicted model, not a curated record. NCBI's taxonomy places the organism in Eukaryota, Metazoa, Arthropoda, Malacostraca, Decapoda, Varunidae. The transcript is spliced from 3 exons.
GAGAGAGAGAGAGAGAGAGAGUCCAAUUAACCUGGCGAUUCUUCUUACCUUGAGGAACGUAAUAGAUCAUAAUAAAAAUAAAAUAAAUAAAUAAAGUACGACAGUUUUUUUUGUAUGGUACGAUAAUGAUACUGAUGAUGAUGAUGAAAAGUUAUUAAAAUUCCCAUACAAGACCAAGAUUAAGUUUACAGUGACAUACUAUCCCUAAAUGACCUACAAUUAACGUAUUCUAAGAUCAAUGACGAAAGAAAUACAUUUUUACUGACAUACAAGGGUGUAGGUUAUCUUUUUUUAUCACAUUAACUGACAUAGCUACAAGGGGUGCAGGUUAUCACAUUUAUCGACAUACAAGGGGUGCAGGUUAUCACAAUUAUCACAUUUACUGUCAUGCAAGGGGUGUAGGUUAUCUUUUUUUAUCACAUUAACCGACAUAGCUACAAGGGGUGCAGGUUAUCACAUUUAUCGACAUGCAAGGGGUACAGGCUAUCUCUUUUAUCACAUUUACUGACAUACAAGGGGUACAGGUUAUCUCUUUUAUCACAUUUACUGACAUACAAGGGGUACAGGCUAUCUCUUUUAUCACAUUUACUGACAUACAAGGGGUACAGGCUAUCUCUUUUAUCACAUUUACUGACAUACAAGGGGUACAGGCUAUCUCUUUUAUCACAUUUACUGACAUACAAGGGGUACAGGCUAUCUCUUUUAUCACAUUUACUGACAUACAAGGGGUACAGGCUAUCUCUUUUAUCACAUUUACUGACAUACAAGGGGUACAGGCUAUCUCUUUUAUCACAUUUACUGACAUACAAGGGGUACAGGCUAUCUCUUUUAUCACAUUUACUGACAUACAAGGGGUACAGGCUAUCUCUUUUAUCACAUUUACUGACAUACAAGGGGUGCAGGUUAUCUCUUUUAUCACAUUUAUUGACAUACAAGGGGUACAGGCUAUCUCUUUUAUCACAUUUAUUGACAUACAAGGGGUACAGGCUAUCUCUUUUAUCACAUUUACUG